UCUCGUUUUGAGUUUUUCAUAGGGGAUGGAAUAAUUCUGGAGGUGGGAAUAAUCUACUACAAGACACAUCUAGUUUAGAAAAUGCAUUUGAAGAGAUAUAAGAAAGUUCAGGAACUUUCAAGAAAAACAAAAAAAGACGAGUGACAAAAAUCAGUUACGAGAAAGAAACGAAAAACGAGAAAUCUGAAAAUGAUCAAUUGUAUAGUUUAGAACCAAAGUAUUUUUUUUUUACAAAAUUGCUUUAUUUGUUUUUUAUAGAAAUUUAUGUUAUAUUUAUUGUACCUGUGGAAAUUAUUCAAGAUUAUUUUUGUAUUUUAAAAGAAAUAAGAUGUUUGUCAA
Non-coding RNA from Hydra vulgaris (swiftwater hydra), 339 nucleotides. NCBI's taxonomy places the organism in Eukaryota, Metazoa, Cnidaria, Hydrozoa, Anthoathecata, Hydridae. The record is from RefSeq and is a predicted model, not a curated record.